CUGCAUGAUGGAAGCCAUCAUUCUUUUUCUUCAGCGGAGAAUGAAUAUAUUCCUUGCAUGCUACAGAAAAUAAGAAGCUAUCAGGGCCACCAGUCUUGGAGUACAGGCUGAGUGGUAGUAUAUUUCUCUUACAGUA
Small nucleolar RNA from Crocodylus porosus (Australian saltwater crocodile), 136 nucleotides. NCBI's taxonomy places the organism in Eukaryota, Metazoa, Chordata, Crocodylia, Crocodylidae. The record is from Ensembl.